GGCCAAAUGUGAUGGCUCACCUCUGUAAUCCCAACACUUUGGGAGGCCAAGGUUUGCAGAUCACCUAAUGUCAGGAGUUCCGGACCAGCCUGGUCAACAUGGCAAAACACUGUUUCUACUAAAAAUACAAAAA
This is a long non-coding RNA of Sapajus apella (tufted capuchin), 133 nucleotides long. RefSeq lists it as uncharacterized. The transcript has 2 exons. The record is from RefSeq and is a predicted model, not a curated record. Lineage: Eukaryota; Metazoa; Chordata; Mammalia; Primates; Cebidae.